This 301-nucleotide ribosomal RNA is filed under the name uncultured bacterium. RNAcentral describes it as "partial 16S ribosomal RNA". It matches the Rfam family "Bacterial small subunit ribosomal RNA", at positions 509 to 807 of the family's 1533-position model. The record is from RNAcentral.
CAGCCGCCGCGGGAAUACGAAGGGUGCAAGCGUUACUCGGAAUUACUGGGCGUAAAGCGUGCGUAGGUGGUGGUUUAAGUCCGUUGUGAAAGCCCUGGGCUCAACCUGGGAAUUGCAGUGGAUACUGGGUCACUAGAGUGUGGUAGAGGAUAGUGGAAUUUCCGGUGUAGCAGUGAAAUGCGUAGAGAUCGGGAGGAACAUCAGUGGCGAAGGCGGCCAUCUGGGACAACACUGACGCUGAGGCACGAAAGCGUGGGGAGCAAACAGGAUUAGAUACCCCUGUAGUCCCUGUCUCUUAUAC